GACGAACGCUGGCGGCGUGCCUAAUACAUGCAAGUAGAACGCUUAAGGAAGUAGCUUGCUCUUUCUGGAUGAGUUUCGAACGGUUUAGUAACGCGUAGGUAACCUUCCUGGUAGCGGGGGAUAACUAUUGGAAACGAUAGCUAAUACCGCAUAAAAUUUAUUAUUGCAUUAUAGUCAAUUAAAAGGUGCAACUGCACCACUACCAGAUGGACCUGCUUUCUAUUAGCUAGUUGGUGGGGUAACGGCUCACCAAGGCGUCGAUACAUAGCCGACCCGAGGGGGUGAUCAGCCAGACUGGGACUGAGACACGGCCUACAGUAAAAACGGAAGAAGCAGUAGGGAAUCUUCUGAAAUGGACAGGAGUCAAACGGAACAACGCAGAGUGAGUGAAGAAGAUUUUCGGAUCGUAAAGCACUGUUGUAAGAGAAGAACGAGUGUGAGAGAGUAAAGUUCACAAUGUGACGGUAUCUAACUAGAAAGGGACGGCUAACUACGUG
Molecule: ribosomal RNA, 497 nt
Filed under: uncultured bacterium
Lineage: Bacteria
Description: partial 16S ribosomal RNA
Rfam family: Bacterial small subunit ribosomal RNA
Source: RNAcentral